RNAcentral lists this ribosomal RNA (253 nucleotides) under uncultured bacterium. RNAcentral's name for it is "partial 16S ribosomal RNA". It matches the Rfam family "Bacterial small subunit ribosomal RNA", at positions 524 to 776 of the family's 1533-position model. The record is from RNAcentral.
GACGAACUGCCCAAACGUUGUUCGGAAUCACUGGGCAUAAAGGGCGCGUAGGCGGCGAUUCAAGUCAGGGGUGAAAUCCGGCAGCUCAACUGUCGAAGUGCCUUUGAUACUGAAUUGCUCGAGGGAGGUAGGGGUCUGUGGAACUUCUGGUGGAGCGGUGAAAUGCGUUGAUAUCAGAAGGAACGCCGGUGGCGAAAGCGACGGACUGGACCUUUUCUGACGCUGAGGCGCGAAAGCUAGGGGAGCAAACGGG